This 207-nucleotide ribosomal RNA is filed under the name uncultured bacterium. RNAcentral describes it as "partial 16S ribosomal RNA". It matches the Rfam family "Bacterial small subunit ribosomal RNA", at positions 568 to 774 of the family's 1533-position model. The record is from RNAcentral.
CGCGUAGGCGGUUCGUUAAGUUGCUGGUGAAAUCCCGGGGCUCAACUCCGGGGCUGCCAGUAAGACUGGCGAGCUAGAGCACGGUAGAGGCGGAUGGAAUUCCCGGUGUAGCGGUGGAAUGCGUAGAUAUCGGGAAGAAUACCGGUGGCGAAGGCGUUCCGCUGGGCCGUUGCUGACGCUGAGGCGCGACAGCGUGGGGAGCAAACA